This 18-nucleotide microRNA is filed under the name Brugia malayi. Its description in RNAcentral is "bma-miR-234". Its record names the gene bma-miR-234. The record is from miRBase by way of RNAcentral. Lineage: Eukaryota; Metazoa; Nematoda; Chromadorea; Rhabditida; Onchocercidae.
UUAUUGCUUGAGAAUACA